CAGCGCGCAAUUACCCACUCCCGGCACGGGGAGGUAGUGACGAAAAAUAACGAUACGGGACUCAUCCGAGGCCCCGUAAUCGGAAUGAGUACACUUUAAAUCCUUUAACGAGGAUCAAUUGGAGGGCAAGUCUGGUGCCAGCAGCCGCGGUAAUUCCAGCUCCAAUAGCGUAUAUUAAAGUUGUUGCGGUUAAAAAGCUCGUAGUCGAAUUUGUGUCACAUGCCGCUGGUUCAUCGUUCGCGGUGUAAACUGGCGUGACAUGGGACGUCCUGCCGGUGGGCUUAGCUCUUUCGGGAGCGGCCCUAUACAAUCCUGCCGCGUUGCUCUUGAUUGAGUGACGAGGUGGGCCGGCUCAUUUACUUUGAACAAAUUAAAGUGCUUAAAGCAGGCUAAAAUUUUGCCUGAAUAUGUGUGCAUGGAAUAAUGGAAUAGGACCUCGGUUCUAUUUUGUUGGUUUUAAGAACCCCGAGGUAAUGAUUAAUAGGAACGGAUGGGGACAUUCGUAUUGCGACGUUAGAGGUGAAAUUCUUGGAUCGUCGCAAGACGAACAUAAGCGAAAGCAUUUGUCAAAAACGUUUUCAUUGAUCAAGAACGAAAGUUAGAGGUUCGAAGGCGAUCAGAUACCGCCCUAGUUCUAACCAUAAACGAUGCCAGCCAGCGAUCCGCCGAAGUUCCUCCGAUGACUCGGCGGGCAGCUUCCGGGAAACCAAAGCUUUUGGGU
This 721-nucleotide ribosomal RNA is filed under the name Megetra cancellata. RNAcentral describes it as "SSU rRNA". It matches the Rfam family "Eukaryotic small subunit ribosomal RNA", at positions 429 to 1112 of the family's 1831-position model. Lineage: Eukaryota; Metazoa; Arthropoda; Insecta; Coleoptera; Meloidae. The record is from RNAcentral.